RNAcentral lists this transfer RNA (68 nucleotides) under Deroplatys truncata. RNAcentral's name for it is "tRNA-Asn". The record is from RNAcentral. Lineage: Eukaryota; Metazoa; Arthropoda; Insecta; Mantodea; Mantidae.
UUAAUUGAAACCAAAUAGAGGUAUAUCACUGUUAAUGGUAAAAUUGAAAUUAAUGCUUUCCAAUUAAG